CACUCUAAUGAGACUGCCGGUGACAAACCGGAGGAAGUGGGGAUGACGUCAAGUCCUCAUGGCCCUUAUAGGUGGGGCUACACACGUCAUACAAUGGCUGGUACAAAGGGUUGCCAACCCGCAGGGGGAGCCAAUCCCAUAAAGCCAGUCGUAGUCCGGAUCGCAGUCUGCAACUCGACUGCGUGAAGUCGGAAUCGCUAGUAAUCGUGGAUCAGCAUGUCACGGUGAAUACGUUCCCGGGCCUU
This 245-nucleotide ribosomal RNA is filed under the name uncultured Variovorax sp. RNAcentral's name for it is "partial 16S ribosomal RNA". It matches the Rfam family "Bacterial small subunit ribosomal RNA", at positions 1136 to 1382 of the family's 1533-position model. Lineage: Bacteria; Pseudomonadati; Pseudomonadota; Betaproteobacteria; Burkholderiales; Comamonadaceae. The record is from RNAcentral.